This 464-nucleotide ribosomal RNA is filed under the name Streptococcus australis. Its description in RNAcentral is "bacterial SSU rRNA". It matches the Rfam family "Bacterial small subunit ribosomal RNA", at positions 28 to 474 of the family's 1533-position model. Lineage: Bacteria; Bacillati; Bacillota; Bacilli; Lactobacillales; Streptococcaceae. The record is from RNAcentral.
GAUGAACGCUGGCGGCGUGCCUAAUACAUGCAAGUAGAACGCUGAAGGAAGGAGCUUGCUCUUUCCGGAUGAGUUGCGAACGGGUGAGUAACGCGUAGGUAACCUGCCUGGUAGCGGGGGAUAACUAUUGGAAACGAUAGCUAAUACCGCAUAACAGUAGAUGUUGCAUGACAUCUAUUUGAAAGGGGCAAUUGCUCCACUACCAGAUGGACCUGCGUUGUAUUAGCUAGUUGGUGAGGUAACGGCUCACCAAGGCGACGAUACAUAGCCGACCUGAGAGGGUGAUCGGCCACACUGGGACUGAGACACGGCCCAGACUCCUACGGGAGGCAGCAGUAGGGAAUCUUCGGCAAUGGACGGAAGUCUGACCGAGCAACGCCGCGUGAGUGAAGAAGGUUUUCGGAUCGUAAAGCUCUGUUGUAAGAGAAGAACGAGUGUGAGAGUGGAAAGUUCACACGGUGACG